Molecule: long non-coding RNA, 857 nt
Filed under: Medicago truncatula (barrel medic)
Lineage: Eukaryota; Viridiplantae; Streptophyta; Magnoliopsida; Fabales; Fabaceae
Description: lncRNA gene46201
Source: RNAcentral
GUCCCCUCCCACCCUUUCCUUUUUCAUAAACAAAUGUGAUUUGUCGUGGAGCUGUUUUGUACUUGCCAGACCAGACACAAUCCCAUUAAGGUUCAAGUACUUGUACUUAUUUUAUGCAUAGAGCCCCUCAUCAUUCCGAAACACAACUUACUUAACUUUUCAAUACACGAGCUAAUGAUCAUCAUGCUUGUCAUUAUUACAGUUCAUGUUUCGUUGCCAAAUCCAAAAGCUUUCUCCACGCAAAAACAUCUCUUUCUUUCUCACAUACUUCAUCAGUAAAAAAUUCAAGAAAAGUGCUUCACUCAAUCGCUCCUUCUCAUCAACUACUAGCCAUUAAUGUUUCUACGUCUCGUUAAGUAUUUUUGGAUAUGACUAGUAGUACUUCUUAAAAAUGGUUAGUCAAUUCAAUAGAAAUUGACUUUGAUACACCGUCAGUGUAAAACAUGUUUCACUAUCAAGCAACCAUAAUCCAACAUUUUAAGCUUAAGGAGAUGUUUGAAUUGACUUAUUUAAGCUUAUUUAUUAGUAUAAAUUUUGCAAGACUGUUUGGGAGAAGUUAUGAAAACAAAUUAAGAGAAUAGCUUAUAGCUUAUACAAAAAUAAUUUAAGUUAGUUUUAUAUUUUGUUAAGGAAGUAGCUUGCUUAUAAGCACUUAUUGUGAUAAGGGCUUAUGCUAUAAGCUGAAAAGAAAAAAAACUGUUUCUCCAAACAGGCCUAAAUAUUGGUUUAGCUAAAUGGAGUAUUGAGGUUUAGUAGUGCUUUUGUCUCAAUUCAUAGUAUUUGACUUUUCAAACAUUCAAUAAAUUGAGUCAAACAAAGCAUUUAAUAUAAAGGUCUUGUUAACGAAUGCUGCCGGA